This 74-nucleotide transfer RNA is filed under the name bacterium. RNAcentral describes it as "tRNA-Ile". It matches the Rfam family "tRNA". From Rfam's summary of the family: Transfer RNA (tRNA) molecules are approximately 80 nucleotides in length. Their secondary structure includes four short double-helical elements and three loops (D, anti-codon, and T loops). RNAcentral also lists the same sequence under 1 other name. The record is from RNAcentral.
GGGCGCAUAGCUCAGUUGGUUAGAGCGCGACUCUUAUAAAGUCGAGGUCCCUGGUUCGAGCCCAGGUGCGCCCA